UACAGCCAUAUCACAUUGAAACUCCAGUUCCUAUACAAUCACCAAAGUUAAGCAAGGUUGAGCCUGGCUGUUGACUAGAUGAGUGACCAUUUGGGAAUAUCAGGUGCUGUAAG
Non-coding RNA from Acanthosepion pharaonis, 113 nucleotides. The record is from the annotation of a GenBank genome assembly. Lineage: Eukaryota; Metazoa; Mollusca; Cephalopoda; Sepiida; Sepiidae.